GGCUGCAGCCUUUUCAAAUUAGAAGCAAUGUCACACAAUAGUAACUCCUCCUUAUCCACCUUUCUCUGUGUGCUGGGAACCAGCUGAGUGCUUGCUAGGUCUGCACUGCCUCACUGAAACCUCCUGACAGUCUCUGAAGAAGGCACGACUGUUGUCCCAUUUUUCAGAUGAGGAAACUGAGGCUCAGAGAAGUGUUUCAAGAGCCUGAAAUUCUGAUCUGAAUAUGCCAAGAAGUCUUUUCAGUCUGUCUUGGUUGCAGAAGUGUCGUGGUGCCAGAAAUCUGGAGUCAGCGUUACCUCGUGAGGACAAUCAAUAAUCUUCUGCCUCAUAUUUUGGGUCUUUUCAACCUCUGGGAGUGGGACUCCCCCUAAGGCUUCUUUUUGUCCAUCUUGCCUUGUGAAUAAGAUGACAAAGCUCAGGAAGCCAAGACCAUAAUGCUUUCGGGGUCGCCUUGUGGAAGUUGCCAGGACAUUAGCUUUGGGGGACCUGCUUGAAUAAUGGGAGGAAUUAGGGGAAUCUCAGUGGAUUCCACACUGGCCAGGGCCUUGAGCAGUGCUGGCAAAUCUUUUAAAGAUGAACGCUCGAAAUGGAGCCCAAACCCAUGUAUUGCCAGCACUGAAAUUAAACCUGAAUACUAAGGUUCUAGUCCAGAAGAAAGAACUCAUACAUUAACAACUUUGAUCAUAAAAGAAAAUACUAGGCCCUAGGUUGCCACUACUGGCCUAGAACAAACACUGUCCCUGCCCCUGGUAAGCCUUUUAUUUCUUUAAAGGACCUACUGCUUGCAAUGCAGGUGAGCUUUUUGUGUGGCUGUAGCCACAAUCAUGGUUUUGUUCGUUGGUUUGUUUUGUGAGCAGAACAGAUUUUUUUUUCUUUUGCAUUUGAAGAAAUUUGAUAGCUUAUGACUUCAUUGGUUUGGAAUGGAAUCAGAUGAAAGUCUCUUUCCAAAAAUUCUAGAAGAUUACUCCUAUUUUAGCUGGAGAAGCAGUCUGCUAAUGGGAAAGCGUAGUUUUCUAACUUUUAUUUAGCUUUAGACACAGUGACUCAUGAGUAUUGGCAGCUCACAGUGCUGUAAUCCACCUAUUAGAUCUUCUCUUGGUUCUUGGGUGCUCAGUGUUCUCAGCCUCAGACAAACUGGUGCAAAGAUUAUAGCUCUUCAGGAGCUCAUAAUAAUCCCACCUUUUUUGAGUUUUAAUUUUCUCAAGAGUUGAAUUAUGGCAUUAAUAACCAUUUCGUGCCUCAUAUUUUUGGGUGUUUUCGAUCUCUGGGAAUUUCACAGUAUUGUUGUGCUUUUACAAUAAUUGCCUAACCCUGCACCAGACGCUUACAAGCCCUUGGGAAGAAAUACCUAUCCCUUCCUUUCUGGAUUCUCUGCAAAAAAAUAGUUGUAUAUGCCUUAAUUAAAAUCAUUUCUUGUCGGGCACAGGCGCUCAACAUACUCCGCCCAGGGCCAAGAGCCACGUCAGCUUCCGCAAUGCGUUAUGUCCCUCUCCAAAUAAACUUCUCCGCGGCAACUAGUGGUGUUUACUCCGUGGCAGCUUGUGAUUGGCCACAGUCAGAUAGGCAGCUUGUGAUUGGCCACAGUCAGAUAGGCAGCUUGUGAUUGGCCACAGUCAGAUAUAUAAGCCAGAACCCGCCUCAAUAAAGCAGCAAUUACCUGUUACCAACAA
Molecule: long non-coding RNA, 1670 nt
Organism: Cavia porcellus (domestic guinea pig)
Lineage: Eukaryota; Metazoa; Chordata; Mammalia; Rodentia; Caviidae
Exons: 2
Source: RefSeq, a predicted model, not a curated record